This 468-nucleotide ribosomal RNA is filed under the name uncultured bacterium. RNAcentral's name for it is "partial 16S ribosomal RNA". It matches the Rfam family "Bacterial small subunit ribosomal RNA", at positions 28 to 507 of the family's 1533-position model. The record is from RNAcentral.
GACGAACGCUGGCGGCGUGCUUAACACAUGCAAGUCGAACGGAAAGGCCCUGCUUUUGUGGGGUGCUCGAGUGGCGAACGGGUGAGUAACACGUGAGUAACCUGCCCUUGACUUUGGGAUAACUUCAGGAAACUGGGGCUAAUACCGGAUAGGAGCUCCUGCUGCAUGGUGGGGGUUGGAAAGUUUCGGCGGUUGGGGAUGGACUCGCGGCUUAUCAGCUUGUUGGUGGGGUAGUGGCUUACCAAGGCUUUGACGGGUAGCCGGCCUGAGAGGGUGACCGGCCACAUUGGGACUGAAAUACGGCCCAGACUCCUACGGGAGGCAGCAGUGGGGAAUAUUGCACCAUGGGCGGAAGCCUGAUGCAGCAACGCCGCGUGGGGGAUGACGGCCUUCGGGUUGUAAACCGCUUUCGCCUGUGACGAAGCGGGAGUGACGGUAAUGGGUAAAGAAGCACCGGCUAACUACGUG